Molecule: long non-coding RNA, 433 nt
Organism: Sander lucioperca (pikeperch)
Lineage: Eukaryota; Metazoa; Chordata; Actinopteri; Perciformes; Percidae
Exons: 2
Source: RefSeq, a predicted model, not a curated record
CGUAAGUGAAUUGACUGUCUGUUCCACGCUCACUGCAGUACUCUGCUUACACUGUUGUAAGAUGUGUUUAAUUAUAUUUUUUAAACUCCCUUUCAGACACAGGCUUCAUUUUGUAAAGUAUGUGGCACAUAUGUAUGGCGGUUUUGACUCAAUUGUACGCCUAUUUGUAAACAAUUAAUUGUUGAAGAUGGUGAUAACAAUAUGUAUGCAAACAUUUGGAAAUUUGUGAAUAACUUUUAGAGUAAUUAAAACACAGAUGAUGGUACUGAGAGGUUUAUAAAAAAAAACCUACAUUAAGCUAUUUCACUGACUUCAGUUUUGAGCAAAUAAGCAUCAAUCUGUUUGUUCAAAGCAAAAUAAACUAAAUAUGGUAAGUCUAAAGGAUUUCAGUGGUGUUUAGCUCUUUUUUGUGCUGCAACUCUACUCUGUGAUG